CGUCGGAGCUACAAGGAUCGUCGCCCAAUAUUGUCAAGUAUUUCAUUGAAAGUUUUACGUCUUACACCAUUAAUUUAUUUUGUUUUUUAUGUGUUUACGAGGGCGCCAUCGUCGCCGAAGAGGAACAUUGGGCAGCGUGGUUCGCCGUGGGAGUCACCGGUAUUGUCACACAAAAUCGUCAGGAGGCCCGCAUCACCAUCUGAGAGGAUGCUGGACAUCGAGGAUCGCCGGUGGAGCAACGAGAUUGUCGCAAUGGAUGUUUCAGGUAUAUUUCUUUACAUGUUUAUUUGCCUAACCAUAUUUUUUUUAUGUAUUUAGGAGGGAUCCGUCGUCGCUGAAUAGGACUACCGGACGUCGUGGAGUGUCGUUGGAGCAACGGAAAUCGCCGCCUAUUCCGUCGGACACGCCCAUUAGGUCGAUGGGGGGAAAAAAAUAGCAAGAAUGAACAACCCGCUGAACAAGAAACCGGUUCGAGCGAUACGGGUUUGUGGGGCUGAUUGGUCUCAGUUUUACUCAACGAAAUGGAUGUGUUGCAACGCUGUCUCAAACGUCUGCACCGGAGUCCUUACCUCAGUUUUUUCUGAGUGCAGAAAGUUAUUCAAACCAAGGAUACAGAAUAUAAAAGACUUGAAGCGAACGGGAAGAUAUAGCAGAAUUAAACACAAUUCACGAGGACUGGCCGCAGGGUUAAAAUGGUACUGAGGUAUAGUUCAGCAUGCGACUAUACAAUACUAAUAUGUAAAGCCUUGACCACAGAAAACAACGGAAUCUUAGAAAUCCUCCUUGAUCGCGGAAUUCAG
This is a long non-coding RNA of Daphnia carinata, 800 nucleotides long. RefSeq lists it as uncharacterized. The transcript is spliced from 4 exons. NCBI's taxonomy places the organism in Eukaryota, Metazoa, Arthropoda, Branchiopoda, Diplostraca, Daphniidae. The record is from RefSeq and is a predicted model, not a curated record.